UCGGGAGUUCAAGGCCAGCCUGGCCAAUAUGGUGAAACCCUGUCUCUACUAAAAAUACAAAAAAAAAAAAAAAAAAAAAAUAGCUGGAUAUGAUGGCAUGUACCUGUAGUCCCAGCUACUCAGGAGGCUGAGGCAGAAGAAUCGCUUGAACCCAGGAGGCAGAGGUUGCAGUGAGCUGAGAUUGCUCCAUUGCACUCCAGCCUGAGAAACAAAAGCAAAACUCUAUCCCCACCCCCCCCAAAAAAAAGGAAGGAAAAGAGAAGAAAAAAAGUCAUCUGUGCCCUCGAGCAACAUCUUUAACCAUUCGCCUAAUUCAAACCACUGGGAUGAAAAUGUAUAUCCUGUAUAUACCAUCUCUACUGCUGGGAAAAAAGACACGUCAACUCAAUACCCAUCCUAUUUUUAGACGGCCUGAGAUUCGUCCUUAUCCAUGCAGGGCAGUCGGGUAGGACAAUGAAGAGGUGGACUUCUGAAUUUGAGAGAAAUUGGUCUUAUCCCAGAGAAGUGAGGCCACCACCCACCUGCAAUAGCUUGGCUUCCUGGAUCCCUAAGCAAAGAGGGUAGCAGACAAGCAAGAGGGUGGAAUUUGCAGCAUCUCAUCUUGGUGAGACAGUUGGAAGACUUUUCUGCCAAUUAUAGUGGUUAAACACUGACUCAACAUCAAACAACGGCAUGAGGGGUCAGAGCCUUCAUUCGUGGACAAGUUUCAAAAACAUGGGAGCACCACCUGUCAUGAGCAAUUUAGUCAGAACAGAAGAGAAUAGAUCACACCCAACAAGACAGAAAAAGCUGCUUUCUGGAGAGGGCGGGAGCUAAUAUUUCCUAACACGGUGAAAUUGUGAAGUGCUUUUUGCAGCCCUUCAUAAUUUCAUCAUCCAAAGGGUUUGCUUUUGGAAUUCUUAGACACUUAAUUCUGUCCCUGCUUUCCGUGUCACUUCCACGGGACACUGAAUUUGGGAAGAGGGAGACCUCACCAAUGAUGGGAAGAACAGAUUGGGGGCUGGCGCCCUUUUGGGUUUGCCAUGUGAACAUCCUCCUGGAACAGUCUCCAUUCUGUCCCAGCAAGACACACUCUGCUCUGUGAAGAACCCAGGUGGGAAAAAAAAAAAAAUCUAUGAGGCCACAGUGGAAAUGCA
Molecule: long non-coding RNA, 1136 nt
Filed under: Homo sapiens (human)
Lineage: Eukaryota; Metazoa; Chordata; Mammalia; Primates; Hominidae
Description: HSALNT0390514
Source: RNAcentral